Cyprinus carpio carpio is the source of this 822-nucleotide long non-coding RNA. NCBI's taxonomy places the organism in Eukaryota, Metazoa, Chordata, Actinopteri, Cypriniformes, Cyprinidae. The record is from Ensembl.
GGUUAUUUCAUCAGGGUGUAAUCAUACAUAAGCUUCUCAGGGCGGUACCUCGUUGAUGCUUUAUCCUAAUUCAACACGACAUUGCAUUAGUUUUUAUUCUUCGACAACGUUAGCUUUUUCUACAUUUUCAAAAGGACGAGGUCCCACCGAGAUUUGAACUCGGAUCGCUGGAUUCAAAGUCCAGAGUGCUAACCAUUACACCAUGGGACCGUGCUGCCAGGAAGAGCGACAUAACGACAAUUAUUCACCGAUAAUAAUCCCGAUUGGCUGGCUGUCCUUGACCUUUGACCUACAAUGAAGUAACAUUCUUGUUCCCACAUUCCACAGUGAUCUUUGUAGUCUCUGAGAGGUUAUGACCUGUUAUAGCACUGUAACUGUCAGAACAUUUUGUACGUGGGAAAUGGAAAGAGAAGAACAAAGACAAUAGCCCAUAUGUUCCUGUGAGAGGACGACGGAAACAGCCAAUGGAUAACCAUUAGAGGCCCCUCUCUCUGCAUCUUUUACUUCCGUUCAUGCCUCUUACAAUCUUCCUCACUACGUCACUCCAUCACAUUUCUCUUCCUUUAUCUCAACAUUCGCCAUCAAUCAAUACAGCUCACAUGCCUGCGCACAAACACAACACAGAACCUUUCUUCUCCCACUGCGUGCCACAGGGCUGAAUUCCCCAUGUGAUCAGACUAACACAAUCAAACUUAAUGUUAUUUUUCUCUUAUGCAUACACACAUGUAUACAGCUAGCCUUCAAGGCCUGAAACAGAAGCCUCUGCUAUACUACUCAGGCAGACACACCCAAGUAAAACAUGAACUCAUCUCCUUACAAACC